UAUGAGAGUUUGAUCCUGGCUCAGGACGAACGCUGGCGGCGUGCCUAAUACAUGCAAGUCGAACGCUUCUUUUUCCACCGGAGCUUGCUCCACCGGAAAAAGAGGAGUGGCGAACGGGUGAGUAACACGUGGGUAACCUGCCCAUCAGAAGGGGAUAACACUUGGAAACAGGUGCUAAUACCGUAUAACAAUCGAAACCGCAUGGUUUUGAUUUGAAAGGCGCUUUCGGGUGUCGCUGAUGGAUGGACCCGCGGUGCAUUAGCUAGUUGGUGAGGUAACGGCUCACCAAGGCCACGAUGCAUAGCCGACCUGAGAGGGUGAUCGGCCACAUUGGGACUGAGACACGGCCCAAACUCCUACGGGAGGCAGCAGUAGGGAAUCUUCGGCAAUGGACGAAAGUCUGACCGAGCAACGCCGCGUGAGUGAAGAAGGUUUUCGGAUCGUAAAACUCUGUUGUUAGAGAAGAACAAGGAUGAGAGUAACUGUUCAUCCCUUGACGGUAUCUAACCAGAAAGCCACGGCUAACUACGUGCCAGCAGCCGCGGUAAUACGUAGGUGGCAAGCGUUGUCCGGAUUUAUUGGGCGUAAAGCGAGCGCAGGCGGUUUCUUAAGUCUGAUGUGAAAGCCCCGGCUCAACCGGGAGGGUCAUUGGAAACUGGGAGACUUGAGUGCAGAAGAGGAGAGUGGAAUUCCAUGUGUAGCGGUGAAAUGCGUAGAUAUAUGGAGGAACACCAGUGGCGAAGGCUCUCUGGUCUGUAACUGACGCUGAGGCUCGAAAGCGUGGGAGCAAACAGGAUUAGAUACCCUGGUAGUCCACGCCGUAAACGAUGAGUGCUAAGUGUUGGAGGGUUUCCGCCCUUCAGUGCUGCAGCUAACGCAUUAAGCACUCCGCCUGGGGAGUACGACCGCAAGGUUGAAACUCAAAGGAAUUGACGGGGGGCCCGCACAAGCGGUGGAGCAUGUGGUUUAAUUCGAAGCAACGCGAAGAACCUUACCAGGUCUUGACAUCCUUUGACCACUCUAGAGAUAGAGCUUCCCCUUCGGGGGCAAAGUGACAGGUGGUGCAUGGUUGUCGUCAGCUCGUGUCGUGAGAUGUUGGGUUAAGUCCCGCAACGAGCGCAACCCUUAUUGUUAGUUGCCAUCAUUCAGUUGGGCACUCUAGCAAGACUGCCGGUGACAAACCGGAGGAAGGUGGGGAUGACGUCAAAUCAUCAUGCCCCUUAUGACCUGGGCUACACACACGUGCUACAAUGGGAAGUACAACGAGUCGCGAAGUCGCGAGGCUAAGCUAAUCUCUUAAAGCUUCUCUCAGUUCGGAUUGCAGGCUGCAACUCGCCUGCAUGAAGCCGGAAUCGCUAGUAAUCGCGGAUCAGCACGCCGCGGUGAAUACGUUCCGGCCUUGUACACACCGCCCGUCACACCACGAGAGUUUGUAACACCCGAAGUCGGUGAGGUAACCUUUUGGAGCCAGCCGCCUAAGGUGGGAUAGAUGAUUGGGGUGAAGUCGUAACAAGGUAGCCGUAUCGGAAGGUGCGGCUGGAUCACCUCCUUU
RNAcentral lists this ribosomal RNA (1552 nucleotides) under Enterococcus faecium. RNAcentral describes it as "bacterial SSU rRNA". It matches the Rfam family "Bacterial small subunit ribosomal RNA". The record is from RNAcentral. Lineage: Bacteria; Bacillati; Bacillota; Bacilli; Lactobacillales; Enterococcaceae.